Molecule: unclassified non-coding RNA, 332 nt
Filed under: soil metagenome
Description: partial contains 5.8S ribosomal RNA, internal transcribed spacer 2, and large subunit ribosomal RNA
Rfam family: 5.8S ribosomal RNA (bases 1-120)
Source: RNAcentral
GAUGAAGAACGCAGCGAAAUGCGAUAAGUAAUGUGAAUUGCAGAAUUCAGUGAAUCAUCGAAUCUUUGAACGCACAUUGCGCCCCCUGGUAUUCUGGGGGGCAUGCCUGUUCGAGCGUCAUUUCACCACUCAAGCCUCGCUUGGUAUUGGGCGACGCGGUCCGCCGCGCGCCUCAAAUCGACCGGCUGGGUCUUCCGUCCCCUCAGCGUUGUGGAAACUAUUCGCUAAAGGGUGCCGCGGGAGGUCACGCCGCAAAACAACCCCAUUUCUAAGGUUGACCUCGGAUCAGGUAGGGAUACCCGCUGAACUUAAGCAUAUCAAUAAGCGGAGGA